This 479-nucleotide ribosomal RNA is filed under the name uncultured bacterium. RNAcentral's name for it is "partial 16S ribosomal RNA". It matches the Rfam family "Bacterial small subunit ribosomal RNA", at positions 28 to 507 of the family's 1533-position model. The record is from RNAcentral.
GAUGAACGCUAGCGGGAGGCCUAACACAUGCAAGCCGAGCGGUAGAGUUUCUUCGGAAACUUGAGAGCGGCGCACGGGUGCGUAACACGUGUGCAACCUACCUUUAUCUGGGGGAUAGCCUUUCGAAAGGAAGAUUAAUACCCCAUAAUAUAAUGAUUGGCAUCAAUUAUUAUUGAAAACUCCGGUGGAUAGAGAUGGGCACGCGCAAGAUUAGAUAGUUGGUGAGGUAACGGCUCACCAAGUCAAUGAUCUUUAGGGGUCCUGAGAGGGAGAUCCCCCACACUGGUACUGAGACACGGACCAGACUCCUACGGGAGGCAGCAGUGAAGAAUAUUGGACAAUGGGUGAGAGCCUGAUCCAGCCAUCCCGCGUGAAGGAUGACGGUCCUAUGGAUUGUAAACUUCUUUUGUACAGGGAUAAACCUACCCUCGUGAGGGUAGCUGAAGGUACUGUACGAAUAAGCACCGGCUAACUCCGUG